This 1218-nucleotide ribosomal RNA is filed under the name uncultured Rhizaria. RNAcentral describes it as "SSU rRNA". It matches the Rfam family "Eukaryotic small subunit ribosomal RNA", at positions 577 to 1805 of the family's 1831-position model. The record is from RNAcentral.
CGGUAAUUCCAGCUCCAAUAGCGUAUACUAAAGUUGUUGCAGUUAAAAAGCUCGUAGUUGGAUUUCUGCGGGGACGGAGCGGCCGGACGCAACUUGCGUCUCGAGCUAGCGCUUUCCCCGCAUCCUGCCGCGAACCGUGCUACCAUUAGUUUGGUGGCGCUGGGGAUCGGCUCGAUUACUUUGAGAAAAAUAGAGUGUUCAAAGCAGGCCACACGCCUUGAAUAAGUUAGCAUGGAAUAAUGACUAAGGACUUCGGUUCUAUUUUGUUGGUGUUCGGGACUGAAGUAAUGAUUGAUAGGGACAGUUGGGGCGGUCUGUAUUCCAAAGCGAGAGGUGAAAUUCUUAGACCUUCGGAAGACAAACAGCUGCGAAAGCGCUCCGCAAGGAUGUUCCCUUUGAUCAAGAACGAAAGUUGGGGGAUCGAAGACGAUCAGAUACCGUCGUAGUCUCAACUAUAAACUAUACCAGCUAGGGAUCGGCCAACGUUUAAUUAUUCGACUUGGUCGGCACCUUAUGAGAAAUCAAAGCAUCUGGGUUCCGGGGGGAGUAUGGUCGCAAGGCUGAAACUUAAAGGAAUUGACGGAAGGGCACCACCAGCCGUGGAGCCUGUGGCUUAAUUUGACUCAACACGGGAAAACUUACCAGGUCCAGACAUAGGAAGGAUUGACAGAUUGAUAGCUCUUUCUUGAUUCUGUGGGUGGUGGUGCAUGGCCGUUUUUAGUUGGUGGAGUGAUUUGUCUGCUUAAUUGCGUUAACGAACGAGACCCCAGUCUGCUAAAUAGCGCGGCCGAGCUUUGCUCGGUGCGAGCUUCUUAGAGGGACCAUGAUGCGCGAUAGCACAAGGAAGUUUGGGGCAACAACAGGUCUGUGAUGCCCUUAGAUGUUCUGGGCCGCACACGGGCUACACUGGCGCCUGCAACGAGCAUAUCAGCUGGCCCGAGAGGGUCUUGGCUAAUCUUUUGAACCGGCGCCGUGCUUGGGAUUGACCUUUGCAAUUGUUGGUCAUGCAACGAGGAAUGCCUUGUAAACGCGAGUCAUCAGCUCGCAUUGAAUACGUCCCUGCCCUUUGUACACACCGCCCGUCGCUCCUACCGAUGAAUGUUCCGAUGAAAUUUUCGGAGAGCGCCAGAGAACGGGGCUCUGCCUUGCAGAUCUGGAGGCUCAAAGUCACUUAAAUCUGAACAUUUCGAGGAAGGAGAAGUCGUAACAAGGUAGCCG